This 74-nucleotide transfer RNA is filed under the name Peltaster fructicola. It matches the Rfam family "tRNA". Rfam says of the family: Transfer RNA (tRNA) molecules are approximately 80 nucleotides in length. Their secondary structure includes four short double-helical elements and three loops (D, anti-codon, and T loops). Further hydrogen bonds mediate the characteristic L-shaped molecular structure. tRNAs have two regions of fundamental functional importance: the anti-codon, which is responsible for specific mRNA codon recognition, and the 3' end, to which the tRNAs corresponding amino acid is attached (by aminoacyl-tRNA synthetases). tRNAs cope with the degeneracy of the genetic code in two manners: having more than one tRNA (with a specific anti-codon) for a particular amino acid; and 'wobble' base-pairing, i.e. permitting non-standard base-pairing at the 3rd anti-codon position. Lineage: Eukaryota; Fungi; Ascomycota; Dothideomycetes. The record is from Rfam by way of RNAcentral.
UCCCGCGUGGCACAAUUGGCUAGCGCGUGAGACUUUUAAUCUCAAGGUUACGAGUUCAAGCCUCGUCGUGGGAG